GAUGAACGCUGGCGGCGUGCCUAAUACAUGCAAGUCGAGCGAACAGACGAGGAGCUUGCUCCUCUGACGUUAGCGGCGGACGGGUGAGUAACACGUGGAUAACCUACCUAUAAGACUGGGAUAACUGCGGGAAACCGGAGCUAAUACCGGAUAAUAUAUUGAACCGCAUGGUUCAAUAGUGAAAGACGGUUUUGCUGUCACUCAUAGAUGGAUCCGCGCCGCAUUAGCUAGUUGGUAAGGUAACGGCGUACCAAGGCAACGAUGCGUAGCCGACCUGAGAGGGUGAUCGGCCCCACUGGAGCUGCGACACGGUCCAGACUCCUACGGGAGGCAGCAGUAGGGAAUCUUCCGCAAUGGGCGAAAGCCUGACGGAGCAACGCCGCGUGAGUGAUGAAGGUCUUCGGAUCGUAAAACUCUGUUAUUAGGGAAGAACAAAUGUGUAAGUAACUAUGCACGUCUUGACGGUACCUAAUCAGAAAGCCACGGCUAACUACGUG
RNAcentral lists this ribosomal RNA (497 nucleotides) under uncultured bacterium. Its description in RNAcentral is "partial 16S ribosomal RNA". It matches the Rfam family "Bacterial small subunit ribosomal RNA", at positions 28 to 507 of the family's 1533-position model. The record is from RNAcentral.